CCCGGAGGAUAGGGCGCACCAAUAAUUGUGGACUACCCUACCUUUGGUUCCGAUAGCCCCUACAAAGAGUGGUGGUUAUCGAUGACUGUGGAGACCAAAGAUUAUCGCCCCGAGGAGGGCCCACAUGAUUUAGCUAGUGGUGAGGUAAUGGCUCACCAAGGCUAAGAUGUCUAGCGGGUGUGAGAGCACGACCCGCGCCACUCGCACUGAGACACUGGCGAGACACUACGGGUGGCUGCAGUCGAGAUCUUCGGCAAUGAGCGCAAGCUUGACCGAGCGACGCCGCGUGAGCGAUGAAGGCCUUCGGGUUGUAAAGCUCUUUAGUGGGGGAGAAAAGCCCGCAAGGGUGUGAUCUAUCCCAAAAAUAAGCACGGGCUAAGUUCGUGCCAGCAGCCGCGGUAAGACGAACCGUGCGAACGUUGUUCGGAAUCACUGGGCUUAAAGGGAGCGUAGGCGGGCUAUCAAGUCUGGGGUGAAAUCCCACGGCUCAACCGUGGAACUGCCUUAGAUACUGACGGCCUCGAGGGAGAUAGGGGCAUGCGGAACUGUAGGUGGAGCGGUGAAAUGCGUUGAUAUCUACAGGAACUCCGGUGGCGAAAGCGGCGUGCUGGAUCUCUUCUGACGCUGAGGCUCGAAAGCUAGGGGAGCAAACGGGAUUAGAUACCCCGGUAGUCCUAGCCCUAAACGAUGGGUACUAGGUAGUAGACGAGAUAUGCGUUUACUGCCGAAGCUAAAGUGCUAAGUACCCCGCCUGGGGAGUAUGGUCGCAAGGCUGAAGCUCAAAGAAAUUGACGGGGGCUCACACAAGCGGUGGAGCAUGUGGCUUAAUUCGAGGCUACGCGAAGAACCUUAUCCUGGACUUGACAUGUGCGAAAGCGUUAGGUAGUAGGAGCCGGAAACGGUAACGAACCCCGCAAGGGGGAGCCUAAUACAGGUGCUGCAUGGCUGUCGUCAGCUCGUGUCGUGAGAUGUCGGGUUAAGUCCCAUAACGAGCGAAACCCUUACCCUUAGUUGCUACCCGCAAGGGGCACUCUAGGGGGACUGCCGGUGUUAAACCGGAGGAAGGCGGGGAUGACGUCAAGUCCUCAUGGCCUUUAUGUCCAGGGCUGCACACGUGCUACAAUGGCGUGUACAAAGCGAAGCGACUGCGCGAGCAGAAGCAAAUCGCAAAAAACACGCCCCAGUUCAGAUCGUAGGCUGCAACUCGCCUACGUGAAGCCGGAAUCGCUAGUAAUCGCGGGUCAGCAACACCGCGUAUCCAC
This 1262-nucleotide ribosomal RNA is filed under the name uncultured bacterium. RNAcentral describes it as "bacterial SSU rRNA". It matches the Rfam family "Bacterial small subunit ribosomal RNA", at positions 94 to 1369 of the family's 1533-position model. The record is from RNAcentral.